This 158-nucleotide ribosomal RNA is filed under the name uncultured bacterium. Its description in RNAcentral is "partial 16S ribosomal RNA". It matches the Rfam family "Bacterial small subunit ribosomal RNA", at positions 355 to 509 of the family's 1533-position model. The record is from RNAcentral.
UGAGGAAUAUUGGUCAAUGGGCGGAAGCCUGAACCAGCCAAGUCGCGUGAGGGAAGAAGGCCCUGCGGGUCGCAGACCUCUUUGGACGGGGAGCAAGGCCGCCGACGUGUCGGCGGAAGGAGAGUACCCGUAGAACAAGCAUCGGCUAACUCCGUGCC